Molecule: non-coding RNA, 54 nt
Organism: Salmo salar (Atlantic salmon)
Lineage: Eukaryota; Metazoa; Chordata; Actinopteri; Salmoniformes; Salmonidae
Source: Rfam
CCGAAUUGCUCCUGUAAUUCGCUCUGGAUAAGAGCGUCUGCUAAAUGACUAAAA